CCUACGGGAGGCAGCAGUGAGGAAUAUUGGUCAAUGGGCUUACACCUGAACCAGCCAAGUCGCGUGAGGGAAGACUGCCCUAUGGGUUGUAAACCUCUUUUGUCAGGGAGCAACGCCGGCUACGUGUAGCCGGACUGAGAGUACCUGAAGAAAAAGCAUCGGCUAACUCCGUGCCAGCAGCCGCGGUAAU
This 190-nucleotide ribosomal RNA is filed under the name uncultured bacterium. Its description in RNAcentral is "partial 16S ribosomal RNA". It matches the Rfam family "Bacterial small subunit ribosomal RNA", at positions 338 to 524 of the family's 1533-position model. The record is from RNAcentral.